RNAcentral lists this ribosomal RNA (550 nucleotides) under Bacillus sp. (in: firmicutes). RNAcentral's name for it is "bacterial SSU rRNA". It matches the Rfam family "Bacterial small subunit ribosomal RNA", at positions 63 to 596 of the family's 1533-position model. The record is from RNAcentral. Lineage: Bacteria; Bacillati; Bacillota; Bacilli; Caryophanales; Bacillaceae.
CGAGCGGAUCUUCAUUAGCUUGCUUUUGAAGAUCAGCGGCGGACGGGUGAGUAACACGUGGGCAACCUGCCUGUAAGACUGGGAUAACUUCGGGAAACCGGAGCUAAUACCGGAUAAUCCUUUCCCUCACAUGAGGGAAAGCUGAAAGACGGUUUCGGCUGUCACUUACAGAUGGGCCCGCGGCGCAUUAGCUAGUUGGUGAGGUAACGGCUCACCAAGGCAACGAUGCGUAGCCGACCUGAGAGGGUGAUCGGCCACACUGGGACUGAGACACGGCCCAGACUCCUACGGGAGGCAGCAGUAGGGAAUCUUCCGCAAUGGACGAAAGUCUGACGGAGCAACGCCGCGUGAACGAUGAAGGCUUUCGGGUCGUAAAGUUCUGUUGUUAGGGAAGAACAAGUACCGGAGUAACUGCCGGUACCUUGACGGUACCUAACCAGAAAGCCACGGCUAACUACGUGCCAGCAGCCGCGGUAAUACGUAGGUGGCAAGCGUUGUCCGGAAUUAUUGGGCGUAAAGCGCGCGCAGGCGGUUCCUUAAGUCUGAUGUG